CCUACGGGAGGCAGCAGUAGGGAAUCUUCCACAAUGGGCGAAAGCCUGAUGGAGCAACGCCGCGUGGGUGAAGAAGGUCUUCGGAUCGUAAAACCCUGUUGUUAGAGAAGAAAGGUCGUGAGAGUAACUGUUCACGUUUCGACGGUAUCUAACCAGAAAGCCACGGCUAACUACGUGCCAGCAGCCGCGGUAAUACGUAGGUGGCAAGCGUUGUCCGGAUUUGUUGGGCGUAAAGGGAACGCAGGCGGUCUUUUAAGUCUGAUGUGAAAGCCUUCGGCUUAACCGGAGUAGUGCAUUGGAUACUGGGAGACUUGAGUGCAGAAGAGGAGAGUGGAAUUCCAUGUGUAGCGGUGAAAUGCGUAGAUAUAUGGAAGAACACCAGUUGCGAAAGCGGCUCUCUGGUCUGUAACUGACGCUGAGGUUCGAAAGCGUGGGUAGCAAACAGGAUUAGAUACCCUUGUAGUC
This 465-nucleotide ribosomal RNA is filed under the name uncultured bacterium. RNAcentral's name for it is "partial 16S ribosomal RNA". It matches the Rfam family "Bacterial small subunit ribosomal RNA", at positions 338 to 795 of the family's 1533-position model. The record is from RNAcentral.